GCAAGGAUGACAAUCUUUGGUUUUGAUCAGCGAUGAAAAUAAACCAUUAAUUCCUCUAAGAAGUUCUGAGCUC
Toxotes jaculatrix (banded archerfish) is the source of this 73-nucleotide small nucleolar RNA. RefSeq annotates it as small nucleolar RNA SNORD61. The transcript has a single exon. The record is from RefSeq and is a predicted model, not a curated record. Lineage: Eukaryota; Metazoa; Chordata; Actinopteri; Toxotidae.